AACCUGCAGCUCCCAGGGGCAGAGUUCAGGAAUGGAGUGGCAAGGCCAAGGAUCUUCAACAAGCAGCGUGGGACAGGGAGAACAGAGGAUGGAGGUUUGGGACAUGGGUGAAGGGGCACUGCCUUGUCCCUCUCCUGCUGCUCAGGAUGGAAGCUCUUUCUAGAUUGCCAUCUUCAUUCCUGAAGGCGAAGGUGGCUGGCCAUGGGGAAGCAAUUGGCCCCUCUCUACUCCCCCUGCUGUGUGGUCCUGAUACAGCCAUCUACACAUCUGAGCUUCAGUUUCCGUAUUCACUCAACAAAGUGUCACUAUGUAGCUCACACUGGCUGCAAACUCACAGGCGCCCUGCUCAGGAUUACAGCAUGCCACUACACCCUGCCUACCUUUGAAUCCGGCUCUGCCUGGCGAGGAACUCAAUCUGGCUGAGGAGGCCUUCCAAAGGGAGGGAUCAGCAUGUACAGAGAAGAGCCUGAACCCAAGAGAUGAGGAAGUGGCCAAGGAGCUGGGGUAACACGAGGCUACAGGGAAAACAGGCCUGAUGACACGUCCCUUGUCAGCCACAGGCGAUGGCGGAUUUUGUCCUGAGUACAAGAAGCAGCCACUGGAAGGCUUAAAGUAGCAGGAUGUGGUGCUG
Molecule: long non-coding RNA, 631 nt
Organism: Mus caroli (Ryukyu mouse)
Lineage: Eukaryota; Metazoa; Chordata; Mammalia; Rodentia; Muridae
Source: RefSeq, a predicted model, not a curated record